RNAcentral lists this ribosomal RNA (497 nucleotides) under uncultured bacterium. RNAcentral's name for it is "partial 16S ribosomal RNA". It matches the Rfam family "Bacterial small subunit ribosomal RNA", at positions 28 to 507 of the family's 1533-position model. The record is from RNAcentral.
GAUGAACGCUGGCGGCGUGCCUAAUACAUGCAAGUCGAGCGAACCGACGAGGAGCUUGCUCCUCUGACGUUAGCGGCGGACGGGUGCGUAACACGUGGAUAACCUACCUAUAAGACUGGGAUAACUUCGGGAAACCGGGGCUAAUACCCGAUAAUAUAUUGAACCGCAUGGUUCAAUAGUGAAAGUCGGUUUUGCUGUCACUUAUAGAUGGAUCCGCGGCGCAUUAGCUAGUUGGUUAGGUAACGGCUUACCAAGGCGACGAUGCGUAGCCGACCUGAGCGGGUGAUCCGCCACACUGGAACUGAGACAGGGCCCAGACUCCGACGGGAGGCAGCAGUAGGGAAUCUUCCGCGAGGGGGGAGAGCGUGACGGAGCAACGCCGCGUGAGUGAUGAAGGUCUUCGGAUCGUAAAGCUCUGUUGUUAGUGAAGAACAAAUGUGUAAGUAACUAUGCACAUCUUGACGGUACCUAAUCAGAAAGCCACGGCUAACUACGUG